CCCGACGGUGAUGGAUGAACAUGCGACUGAUUUAGUUUGUUGGUGAGGUAACGGCUCACCAAGACUACGAUCAGUAGGGGUACUGAGAGGUUAAACCCCCACACUGGUACUGAGACACGGACCAGACUCCUACGGGAGGCAGCAGUAAGGAAUAUUGGACAAUGGCCGCAAGGCUGAUCCAGCCAUGCCGCGUGCAGGAAGACGGACCUAUGGUUUGUAAACUGCUUUUGAACGGGACGAAAACCCCCCUACGUGUAGGGGGCUGAUAGUACUGUUAGAAUAAGCAUCGGCUAACUUCGUG
RNAcentral lists this ribosomal RNA (301 nucleotides) under uncultured bacterium. RNAcentral's name for it is "bacterial SSU rRNA". It matches the Rfam family "Bacterial small subunit ribosomal RNA", at positions 211 to 507 of the family's 1533-position model. The record is from RNAcentral.